UUGACCUCGGAUCAGGUAGGAAGACCCGCUGAACUUAAGCA
This 41-nucleotide ribosomal RNA is filed under the name Amesomyces atrobrunneus. Its description in RNAcentral is "Amesia atrobrunnea partial 28S ribosomal RNA". Lineage: Eukaryota; Fungi; Ascomycota; Sordariomycetes; Sordariales; Chaetomiaceae. The record is from RNAcentral.